Molecule: RNA transcript, 771 nt
Organism: Capsicum annuum
Lineage: Eukaryota; Viridiplantae; Streptophyta; Magnoliopsida; Solanales; Solanaceae
Gene name: COMPASS-like H3K4 histone methylase component WDR5B
Exons: 3
Source: RefSeq, a predicted model, not a curated record
UCACCCCUAAACCACUGAAUGCAAUCUUGAUAGCACGAAUUUUGAUGAAAGUGACGGUGAAGAAGCCCAUACUCGAUGAAUCUUAUAGUUUCGGGUUCGUUUGAUGAGACUUUUCGGGUCUGGGAUGUGAAAACUGGUAAGACGAAUCAUGUGAUUUGGGUGCAUUCGAUGCCGGUAACUUCGGUUCAUUUCAAUAAAGAUGGGUCGUUGAUUUUUUCGGGUAGUCAUAAUGGUUCUUGUAAGAUAUGGAAUACGACAUCUGGGGUUUGCCUUAAGAGCCUUAUUGAUGAUAAGGUUCCUGCAGUUUCUUUCGCCAAGUUUUCACCUAAUGGCAAAUGCAUUCUUGUUGUCACCCUUGAUAAUGCUGUUGUAAAAACAGCUCAAUCGGCAAGACGAAGCUCACUUCUUCUUCUCCUCUCAAUUUCAUGGCACUCCAGCACCCGGCUUUUGGUACACUAACGACUCCAGCUCAAAUGAAGUUGGAUUUUAGCAGUUUCAAAUGCUACGACCACUUUUGUCCUAUUAGUGUCUCAAGGUUGAAGCAGCUUCCUCGGAGAAUUCUUGGCAAGUUUUUGCCCAAGGACGUUCGCUCGCGAAGAGGUGCAACAGAUGGCAGUGAGCCCUGUAGUGCAGUUAUCUCCAUUGUAUGGAAGUUUAUGCAAGAAGACUGUUGGUUAUCAAGUUAACAAAAAACUGGCUACUGUUUUCUUUUUCGUAUGUGAGAAAUUAGAUGGUGCUGUUUCUCCAGAAUAUUGAGGAGAAGCAUUUAAU